This 252-nucleotide ribosomal RNA is filed under the name uncultured bacterium. RNAcentral's name for it is "partial 16S ribosomal RNA". It matches the Rfam family "Bacterial small subunit ribosomal RNA", at positions 524 to 776 of the family's 1533-position model. The record is from RNAcentral.
UACGGAGGAUGCGAGCGUUAUCCGGAUUUAUUGGGUUUAAAGGGUGCGCAGGCGGCGUGUCAAGUCAGCGGUAAAAUGUCGGGGCUCAACCCCGGCCGGCCGUUGAAACUGGCGUGCUCGAGUUGGAGAGGAGUAUGCGGAAUUCGUGGUGUAGCGGUGAAAUGCAUAGAUAUCACGAAGAACCCCGAUUGCGAAGGCAGCAUACCGGCUCCACACUGACGCUGAGGCACGAAAGCGUGGGUAUCGAACAGG